RNAcentral lists this long non-coding RNA (8292 nucleotides) under Homo sapiens (human). RNAcentral's name for it is "HSALNT0243624". Lineage: Eukaryota; Metazoa; Chordata; Mammalia; Primates; Hominidae. The record is from RNAcentral.
GUUCUGAAUGGGUUUUGGUUCCAGUGUGUGCCUUCAGAACGGCCUGCCCCCGGUGCCACCGCUCAGGGCGGCCUCGGCGUGUGCACAUUCACAUAGCCAAGGGUAUGAUCAGACGCAUUAGGAGAGCCUGUUUGGUUUCUGGGGGUGACAUUGCACAGCGUGCCAGCUACAGGAGGAGCAGCAGGCCUGGCUCCUGCCCAGGAGGCACCUGGCCUAGAUCUCAGCGUCACUGCGGAGUUAACCAAGGGAAGCGGCACCAGCAUCACACCCUGUUCCAGCCAACAGUCUCCAGCGUCCCUGACAGAUGUCGGGAAGUUCUUUUCCCCGUAAGAUCCCGGAGAAUGUCCUGAGGCUGCCGUGUGGAAGCUCUGGGGCCUUUCUCGUCUCCCACUGCCAGCUUAAUGAGCUGUGCUGGUAGCAACAGAUGGCGCCCCGCAGGGUCUCACUUGGAUAGCUUGGAAAGUUCCUGGACACCAGUUGGACUUGCCGCGAAAACCAUUAAUCUGGCCUUUCAGAGAAAAUCUUCAGAAGAAUGUAUUUGCAAGGUGAAUUAUGAGGAUUUAGGAUUUGCCCUCAAAUUUCUCUUUCAGGCUGCUCUUCAAAUAAAUAUUUCCCCAUCCAAAAGAGACCACAGUUAUUUUAGAUGUUUGUCUCUUAACAUCUGAAUGCACUGCUUUUUCUUAGCUUUACAAGAACCUGUCCUCACAAUAAUCCACUCUACAGCUGAAAAGUCUUCUUACUCCUGCAAAUCUGAACCCAGUAAUGACUAACAUUGCACCCAAUAAGAAGUGAGGAUAAUUUCAGAACACUUGGCUUUGCUUUAAAGGGCAAGAUUUUGGAAGCAGGUUCACAGGACUCCAUCCAGAUCUGUCUUCCUGGCACACAGCUCAGGGGACCAUGCCCAAGCUCCAGGUGACAGCAGAGGGCAGGAGAGGGGACGCUUGCUUCCCACAUGUCUGGCCCUAGGGUAGGGAGCUCGUUAGGACUCCAGGUGCCAGAAUCCCACAGCACAGUGGCCUCUGGAUGCCCCUUCGUGUCCUGGAAAGGAGAGGCGGCUCCUCUCCAACUCAGGGUGGGGCUGGGAGAGGUCUUGACAGCAGGCAGGCCUUGGAGGCCACCGCAGCUCCCCAAAUGUCCCUGUGCCUCUGCACUCGCUGGGCCUGCUAGCUGUUCUGGGUCUCAAGGGUAUAUAUACAAUUCUGAACAUGUAACUAAGAACAUGUAACUCCACUAGGCUCAUAUCUCACCCUACACCAGCGUUCAUGAUGUGGGAUUUCUGAGCUGACUGCACGUGAGACCCGGCCAGGUCUUGACUCACUGCCUGAAUUUUCCACGUCUUUCUGGAGAUAAAGCCUUUCUCUGGCUUGGUGAAUGCUGUCUGAUUCUUCAUCUUUUUCCAUUUGGCAUUUUGCUUUGAAACUCAGAGUGUUGUAAAAGUAGUUGUACCUGCAUUUAUGUUAGAGAUUCUAAAAAAUACAACUCUGAGCUGGGUGCUGUGGCUCAUGUCUGUAAUCCUAGCACUCUGGGAGGCCAAGGCGGGAGGAUCACUUGAGCCCAGGAGUUCAAGACCAGCCUGGGCAACAAAGCAAGACCUCGUCUCCAUAAAAAGUAAAAAAAAUGGCUAGGUGUGGUGGCUCAUGCCUGUAACCCCAGUACUCUGGGAGGCCAAGGUGGGUGGAUCACCUGAGGUCGGGAGUUCAAGACCAGCCUGACCAACAUGGAGAAACCCUGUCUCUACUAAAAAUACAAAAUUAGCUGGGCAUGGUGGCGCAUGUCUGUAAUCCCAGCUACUCGGGAGGCUGAGGCAGGAUAAUUGCUUGAGUCCGGGAGGCGGAGGUUGCCGUAAGCCGAGAUCGCGCCAUUGCACUUCAGCCUGGGCAACAAGAGUGAAACUCUGUCUCAAAACAACAACAACAACAAAACAAAACAAAAACAAAACAAGUAAAAAAUUAGCCAGGCAUAGUGGCGUGUGCCUGUAGUCACAGCUACUUGGGAGGCCGGGGUCAGAGGAUCACUUGAGCCCAGGAGUUUGAGGUUGCAGUGACCUAUGAUUGCACCAGUACACUUCAGCCUGGGCAACACAGUAAGACCCCAUCUCUAUAAUCAAUCAAUCAGUCAAUCAAUAAAAUACAACUCUGAUUUUGUAAAGAAAAAAAGAUGUUUUGGGAGGACAACCUUAAGACAAAGAAAACAAAGUUUUCUAGUCCCAUCUCCUCAUUACCUGCUGCUGUCAUGUGCUAGGAAUAAUAAUGCAAUAAUUAAUUGAGUUGCCACAGCGGCAGGGACUGUCCUAAAGGCUGGAUGUAUGUUUUAUCAUUGAGUUCUCACAGCAAUCCCAGCAGGCAGGAUCUGUUUCUCCCCAUUGUACAGAUGAGGAAACUGAGGCACAGAAAUGCUUUACUUGGCCAAAGGUAGACAGCAAAUAAAUGGGGCCCAGAUGCAAAUGCAAACAUUUUGACUCCAAAACACUUGCCCAUAAACCGCAUGCGCCACUGCAUGGAGAGAUAUAACAAGGACCACCACAAGUCACUCAUCCAGAAGCAGUUUCAUGGACUAUACAAACUUAAUUUAAACGUGUGAAUUCCUUCUAACAGGAUGAAGAGCAAUCUGAUGCCUUCUCAGUUACAAAUCUGUUUGUAGAGGGCAUUGAUAGUUCCUAUAUUUUAAAUAGUUGUUUUGGAGGUUCUAGAUGGCAGAUUACAUACAAAGAAAAAUGCUUUUUUGAUGACAUGGAUUAUCAUUACAUAGAUUUGCAGUGAGUCGAGCCAUGUUCCCCAGCUAUAUAUUUUUUUUUCAGUAAAAGUCUGGUAUAACACAGGAAGUUAUACCAGAUUCUACUUCUGUAGCCUAUUAGGCAGAUGUUGCGAAGGAAUUUCACUGUGUUUGAUGCUUCAAUUUCGUACAGAAUCUCAGGUCUGACAUGGAAGAAGUUUUGAUGACUUACUGCCAACUUUGUAUCACCCCCAAAAUGCUUUAGAGAAAUAUCUCUCUACAGAGGAAAGCAAGGAACUGUGACUUUAACUAGUGAAUUGGAUCAACGUGUCCAGCUAAUUCAGGUACCAAAUCCUAUUUUUCUGUAACAGCAGAAAACUGUCACGACUGCCACUGAGCUCAACUUUUCCUGAACAGACUCAGCUAAAAUCCUUGCCAUGUCUCAGUUCUCAUUUCACUAUGCUAAUUAGGGAGCCCAGAGGGUGAGUCUACACAUGUAAAAUGGAUGGAUCUUAACACAUCGAUGCUUUGUUUUUAGCCAGAUUGCUGCACAACUGAUUCCACUUCUGCAGCAACUGCCAUCCAUCACCAGGACUGCUCUGCCUGGGGACAGCCAGGCCACAGCCCUGCUGACGUCUGCAUGGGUCUUGGACGUGGUCUAGGGCCAGAACGCAGUGAUGAAGCUGGUGGUUUGUAGAGGCUUUUACUACAAGUAACAUCCCUCAUUUGAUGAAAUAGAUAUCUUUCUGCCAACUUGGCUCUGUCACUGAAACCUGGUGUUUUUGUCUGGUAAUUCUUCAAAUUUGAUGUUUUAAAGAAUGUUAAGUGAAUUAAUUCCUCCUUUUUGUCAGUGCUAUAAGUUCCAUACAGAGUUUGCUCAGUCUGAAGUACAUCUGUAUUAAUUAGACAAACUAAAGCAUUGGGUGGAUCUAAACGGUUCCUUUUAAUGAUUUUUCUCCACGAUGACAAGGCACACUAUACAAACAACCACCUGAUUUUAGCAAGAGGGCUAAAAAUUAUAUUGCAUAAAUGGAGUUGCAUUAUUUAAACUUAAAUUCAGGCCAGGUGCGGUGGCUCACGCCUGUAAUCCUAGCACUUUGGGAGGCAGAGGCAGGCGGAUCCUUGAGAUCAGAAGUUCGAGACCAGCCUGGACAACAUGGUGAAACCCUGUCUCUACUAAAAAUACAAAAAUUACCCGGAAAUCGCUUGAACCGGGGAGGCGGAGGUUGCAGUGAGCUGAGAUCGUGCCACUGCACUCCAGCCUGGGCAACAGAGCGAGACUCUGUCUCAACAGAAACAAACAAACAAAAACAACAACAACAAAAAACAAAAAAACCCUGAAAUUCAAACUUUUGCCAUUAAAAACAUCCUCAAUUCGAUAAAUUACAACUUGUAUUUUGAAAUAUUGGUGGAAUGACCUUACCUGCUCUAUUUCAACCUUAAACAGCUGAAUUAAAAGCCUAAUUCCUACCAAAAGUCUUUAAAAUGAGAAAUUAACUGUGAUGAUACUUUCCCCUGAUUAAAUAAGAAGCAAGAGCUGGGGCUUUGCCUGAGAGGACAUCAUUUCAGAAGUCAAUUUGGUUUUGACUUCGUUAAAGCAAUAAAAUGUGGGUGGUUAAUCUGAGUGAAAGCUGCCAUGUUCUAAAAAUGCGUGAAGACUUAACUGGAUGGGUGGUUGCACCGCAGAAGCUAUUUAGGAUUGGAAAGUAGCUGUGAUUUGGAUUUUAAUGAAUUGCACACUGUUGACGAAUUCUUCAGCAGUUAGCCUGGAUCCUUUCCACUCAACUUAGACCUUUCUGCCUAGUUACUCCAACUUAAACCUCAGUUCCUGGAGGAAUCAAGUUUGUCUUAUAGCUGUUGUCUUUGAUGGAGAUGAGCCCGAGAGACAUUAAAGUUUCAGUGAAUUUUAUCCCCUUUCUGGAUACUAUUAAAUCACUCCUGCCCCAGGCAGAAGACUGGUCUUUACUCUAAGGCAGCUAAAGAGUGACUAUUUUUCCAAAUUGCACAAAAGGGAGAAUUUAUCAAGCACCUUUUCUCUCAGAGAGGACAAACCCAGAACAGGAAAACUUUAUUACUUUCUCUCUUGGCUAUAAAUUAUGCUAUUCAGAUGUAUUUGAAAGCUUCUCUUUAUGCUCUUGCUUGAGCCAUAAAACUUGAUACCUGGGGCCAAAUGCCUUUAUCCCCAAGAAGGGUGAAGAAGAUGAAAAGGCAGCAGCUCUAGGCGGAAGCCACACAAAUGACUGGGCAGAAAAUGCGGGCGGUGGAGAAAGUUACAUUGCACGAUUCAUGCCUCUUUGACCUUAUAUUCUACUCUGAAAUUAAUGUUACUGUUUGCAUAGGAUCACUGGCCUUUCGAAACCUGAAUUAGCCAUUCAGAAAACACUAGGUUUAACCAAUACCAUCAAUUUGAUUGUUGUUGUUAUACUUAUUUAUUUUUGAGGCGGGGUCUUGCUCUGUUGCCCAGGCUGAAGUGCAGUGGUGCCAUCUUGGCUUACUGCAACCUCCACCUCCCGGGUUCAAGCGAUUCUCCUGCCUCAGCCUCCCGAGUAGCUGGGAUUACAGGAUUAUACCUGUUUAAUUUUUGUAUUUUUAGUAGAGACAGGAUUUCACCACGCUGGCCAGGCUGGUCUUGGACUCCUGACCUCAAGUGAUCCGCCGGCCUCAGCCUCUCAAAGUGCUGGGAUUACAGGCGUGAGCCACCGUGCUCGGCCUGUUGUUGUUAUUUUUAAUACCGGGAUUUUAGAUCUGAUGAAUUUCAAUAAGCCAGCCACUCACCUGGAGAGGGUUCGCUGGGGUCCACUUUCUCUGCUUUCCUUACAGUCAUGGUACUUUUAUGUUUCUGCUUGACUGAUGUUUGGUCAAUUGCUGGAAGUUUGGAGUCACACUUAAAUGCAGAUAUCUUGAUAGAUGACCUUGGUUCAGUUAGAGCAUCCUCCUCACUAGAACUCUACCAAAAAUGAAAUACGUCUGAGUCUCAGUGGCCAAGUAGGUCAACUUUGUUAGGCAGAGAAAACAGAAAUGAGGCAAAUGCAGUGACCCUCUCCAGCAAUAAUCCUAGAGUCUUCUGCCAGGUCAACACGCCCGUUCACCAGAGAGAUUCAGAUGGACUGGGCAGAGCAACUUAGAAAUAAUGGCAGAGUUAGUGAGUCUGUUUUGUAGAACAUUAUGAAAGAAUGCAUUUUUCUGUGAGUGUGUUUUGUAGAACGUUAUGAAAAGAAUGCAUUUCUGACCCUUAAGUAAUUUGAUGACAGAUAAAUAGCGCAUGUGCUUUUAAACUUCUUAUUGUUUGUUAUUUGAACUACUUUGGAGAUAGGCUAGAAGAAAAAAUGUUCCUUAUGUUAAUCAUACAUUUGACAAUGAAAAGGAAAUGUAGAUAGUGUGACGGAGGCAGAUUAAAUCAGACCUCAGUUUCAAUACUCUGCGUUACUGGGUGCAACACGAGACAGACUAAUCUUUUAAAAAGUCCCCUCCUUGUCACUCUUCUAUAAAGAAGUCAGUAUAAAUCUAUGCAUGGACAAAUCAUGAUUCCUGCUGUGUCAGAAUAUCUCAACACAGCCAUGCCGACGCAAUAAAAAUUAUCCAGGCAUGGAACAGCUUUAUACUUGGCCACACUUACACCCACCAAAGAAAGGAUGAAAACAAUAUAAAUAUCAGAAACCUGGUCUUAAAGGUGAUUUAAGUACAGCCUGAUGGCUUUAGGUCCUGGUGUUGGUAUGACUUGCUAGGCUAUCCAUUCUGCAACAAAUAAAUCACUAGGUUCCCCCUUCCCCGACCCUGGGGGGUCGUUGCGGUGGGGGUGGAGGGGGGCACUAAGCUCUCUCCUCCAUUGCACAUUAGUCCAGUGUUGGAAAGUCCUGUGAAAAUGUGGUCUUUUGCAGGCAUAGAAUGCUAAAUUAACAUCCCUGGUACCUCCCCAACUGUUGCAAUUUGUAUUGAUCUUGCUCACCGUUCUCCCUGUCAGUUGUGGCAUUUUCAUUUCACAGGCUCCUGACUCAGGAAAAUACUCUGAGUAGCUUUGAAUUAUUGGGUGUGAUGUAAGACAAACUAAAUUCUAAAAAAGUCCUCUACUUGUCAGUCUUCUGUAAAGAAGUCUACAUAAAUCUACAGGUGGACACAUCAUUAUGCUCCAAGAUGAUGAAUCAUAUUUUAAAUUUAGAGUUUGGAUACAGCCUUCAAACAAAUAAUUCUUGUUUCUCCGCACAAUUUCAGAAAACAGACCACCCUCAGAUAAAAGAACCAGAAAAGCACAAGACACAACAAACUGACUGUUCUCCCCUUUCCUUUUCGAUUUUGCUAUUUAAUUGAAAUCCUUGCAAAUAACUCUGAAAUGUCAAAGAUGAAACAUUAGGUCAUUUCUUUUUUCUUUUUUUCUUUUUUUUGAGACAAAGUUUCACUCUUAUUGCCCAGGCUGGAGUGAAAUGGUGCCACCUUGGCUCACUGCAACCUCCGCCUCUCGGGUUCAAGCAAUUCUCCUGCCUCAGCCUCCUGAGUAGCUGGGAUUACAGGCACCCACCAUCAUACCCGGCUAAUUUUUGUAUUUUUAGUAGAGACGGGGUUUCGUUAUGUUGGCCAGGCUGGUCUCGAACUCCUGACCUUAGGUGAUCAACCCAUCUCAGCCUCCCAAAGUUCUGGGAUUAUAGGCGUGAGCCACUGUGCCUGGCUAAAACAUUAGGUCAUUUCUGAACAUGAGAUAGGUUCUCUAUUCUCAGAAAAGAAAAUGCGGGCACAUUUUAAGUAUGACACCUAAGAAUGUCAUUGUAAUUGGGUCCUGGAAGUCACAGUCCUGGAACUGGGUCCCAAGAAGAGCAUCAAUGAAUAAGGGACAGAAUUUCUUCCAUAAACUGCCCAACAAAAUCAGCUCACUGCAGUGGGUUAAGUCAACUCCCACAGGGCCCUGCAAGUGAGCCCUUUAUUUCCAGCCAGCAGAAAGGCAGGAAAAAUGCUCCAGGCGAGGAUGACCAACACCUGUGUCAGCAGCAGUAGCAGCAGCAGCAGCAGCAGGUGUCCGCUCAGCUCAUCUUCGCGGAUCCAUUUCCAUUACCCCCAGCCAGGGCCGGAAUUCUUGGCUUGCCCCAGGCUGUGGUGAAUAGGGAGGAGACCUUUAUUGGUUGAGCUGUUAAGCCACGUUUAUCCUUCCUCCACCCAUUCAUUAAACCUCAAGCCUUUAGUGCACUGAAGAGGUGAAAGCUUGGCCAAUUAAAUCAUCCUGUUACCUACGGGAUUGUGAGCCUACAUUGUGAAUACAUCCUUCUCUGGUUCAAUCAACCUUAUUUCUAGGUAGUAAUCAUUAAGAGUCUAGAAAUUGCAGCUAGAAGUUGGUGUUUUAUCAGUUGUAAACCGAAGGUACAAUGGCAAGAAGUGUAAUACUUACAAAUGUGUUAAUGGACUUUUUUCCUGCUUGCCUCAUUGAGAAAUCUUAAAUAAAUCACGUCCACCUUUUGGUCUUUAUUCUGUCUUCUUACGUUCUCAGCCAUUCCCAUCUAUCCUCUUUCUUUCUUUUUUCUGGAGACAGAGUCUUGCUCUGUCACCCAGGCUGGAGUGCAAUAGCGCGAUCUCGGUUCACUGCAACCUCGACCUCCC